GAGAGAAAGAAUAAAGGAAAAGGAAGAGGAAGAAGAAAGAAGAAGGGAAUUGAUCAUAGAGCUUCACUGGAGCCGGGUCUUAGCAUUUUGAGGCUGGAAUGAUGAUUAGCUCGUCGGGAUCUUCGAUUUGAGACAGGAUUUGGAAGGAGUGUUGGUGAAGAUCUAGAGUUUUUGAGUUAAAGAAGUGAAAUUGGGGUUUCAUUGGUGUUCUUGAGAAAAGAGGUUACACUCGUUAUACGCAUACCCACCCAUAAGAUCUCCUAUGCACUAGAUGCAAGCACCGCGUACUUACUCAAGUAAGUGGGGAGUGGACUUUGAUUUAAUUCUAUAUGCAUACCCACUCAUCAGUUCUCCUACGCACCAAGUGCAAGCACCGCAUACUUAUACAAGUGAUUUUACAGGUUACCUGCCUAAAGAUCAGGAGCCGGGUCCCACUGUGGAGUUUCACUCCGAGGACUAGUGGGUCUCUGAUGAGUUCGAGCACGGUGCUAAUUACACAUGUGAGGAUAGUGUUGUAUGGUAGCAGUGACUCCAGAUUGAUUCUUUUUUAUUCUUUCGAUGUACCCUUUUGAUGACUUGAUACUUAAAUUGUUAUAUUUUGUGUAUAUACCAUGCCUUCAGGCCCAUAUGUAUAU
Long non-coding RNA from Macadamia integrifolia, 635 nucleotides. RefSeq lists it as uncharacterized. NCBI's taxonomy places the organism in Eukaryota, Viridiplantae, Streptophyta, Magnoliopsida, Proteales, Proteaceae. The transcript is spliced from 4 exons. The record is from RefSeq and is a predicted model, not a curated record.